CCUACGGGAGGCAGCAGUGGGGAAUAUUGGACAAUGGGCGCAAGCCUGAUCCAGCAACGCCGCGUGUGUGAAGAAGGUCUUCGGAUUGUAAAGCACUUUCGACAGGGACGAUGAUGACGGUACCUGUAGAAGAAGCCCCGGCUAACUUCGUGCCAGCAGCCGCGGUAAUACGAAGGGGGCUAGCGUUGCUCGGAAUUACUGGGCGUAAAGGGCGCGUAGGCGGCGUGAUCAGUCAGGCGUGAAAUUCCUGGGCUUAACCUGGGGGCUGCGCUUGAUACGGUCGUGCUAGAGGGCAGAAGAGGGUCGUGGAAUUCCCAGUGUAGAGGUGAAAUUCGUAGAUAUUGGGAAGAACACCGGUGGCGAAGGCGGCGACCUGGUCUGUUACUGACGCCGAGGCGCGAAAGCGUGGGGAGCAAACAGGAUUAGAUACCCUGGUAGUCCACGCUGUAAACGAUGUGCGCUGGAUGUUGGGUGACCUAGUCACUCAGUGUCGUAGCUAACGCGGUAAGCGCACCGCCUGGGGAGUACGGCCGCAAGGUUGAAACUUAAAUGAAUUGACGG
RNAcentral lists this ribosomal RNA (561 nucleotides) under uncultured bacterium. RNAcentral describes it as "bacterial SSU rRNA". It matches the Rfam family "Bacterial small subunit ribosomal RNA", at positions 338 to 916 of the family's 1533-position model. The record is from RNAcentral.